GUGAGCGAGCCCAGAGUCGCGUACCUCCGGGCUCUGGCCGCUUCUUUCCUCUCAAGCCGACCUUCGCGCUUGCUUCCUGCCGCCCCGUCCCGACCCGGGGCUGGCGACAAUCCCGCGGUGGCUGGUGACGUUCGCUCCGGCUUGGCCGAGCACAGGAAGCCCGCGCCUACGGUCGUGCGACCCUUUUAUAACCCACUUGUGACUCAUAACCGACCGGGCGGCUUUUCUGUCACCCCCCCCCUUCCCCUCCUCCUGCCUCUUCUUGGAACCCACAGCUUGAAAAACUUUUUUUUUCUUUUUAAAGGAAAAGUCGAAAAAGUCCAGCGCCCCGAGGAGGGGUGUUUUCCCCUUUCCCUUUCUCGUGGGUCACUCGGUGUGUGUUUUCUCUUACACCCGCCAUGUACUUUCCUGACCCGCGCAGCAAGGCUGGGGCGCCAACCUUUGUUCGCAAUGAAAAGGAAACGCAUUCAAAUUACGGCCAGACGUUGCCGAGCUUUCAGUCGGCUGGAGGGGAAGUGCUGCUUCUUACAACUGGCUGGCUGGGGAGUCUACACCCUGCUUGUAGUUGAGAAAGAAAAGUGAAGCAAGUGGAAAGUUCUCCCUUCCUGCUCCUACUGAUUCAGCCAGAGAUUCCACAUGUAAGAGAAAACGUGAGACCCGUCUUUCCGAAUCUGGCUUAACAUAAUGAUCUUCACUUCCAUCCAUUUUACUGCAGAUGACAUGAUUUCAUUUUCCUUUAUGGCUGAAUAAUACUCUAUUGUAGGUCAUCUGAGAAUAUAAUGACAUGAUGGUUUCCUCUAUGUCACAAAGAUAAUCCUCCCCAGAAACUAAAUUCUACUGGGUCUUGACAUUGGAUUCUGCCAUCCAAAACUAUGAAGAAAUAAAUGUGUUGUUUCAGCCACC
RNAcentral lists this long non-coding RNA (903 nucleotides) under Heterocephalus glaber (naked mole-rat). RNAcentral's name for it is "lncRNA (ENSHGLG00100041684.1)". The record is from RNAcentral. Lineage: Eukaryota; Metazoa; Chordata; Mammalia; Rodentia; Bathyergidae.